Molecule: ribosomal RNA, 433 nt
Filed under: uncultured bacterium
Lineage: Bacteria
Description: partial 16S ribosomal RNA
Rfam family: Bacterial small subunit ribosomal RNA
Source: RNAcentral
AACGAACGCUGGCGGCAGGCCUAACACAUGCAAGUCGAGCGCGCCCUCCGGGGUGAGCGGCGGACGGGUGAGUAACGCGUGGGAACGUGCCCUUUUCUACGGGAUAGUCCCGGGAAACUGAGAGUAAUACCGUAUACGCCCCGCGGGUGAAAGAUUGAUCGGAAAAGUGUCGGCCGGCGUUGGUUUAGGUGGUUGGGGGGGUAAUGGCCUACCAAGCAUACGAUCCUUAGCUGGUUUGAGAGGAUGAGCAGCCACACUGGGGCUGAGACACGGCCCAGACUACUACGGGAGGCAGCAGUGGGGAAUCCUGGACAAUCGGGGCAACGAUGAUCUAGCCAUGCCUCGUGAGUGAUGAAGGCCUUAGGGUUGUAAAGCUCUUUCAGCUGGGAAGAUAAUGACGGUACCAGCAGAAGAAGCCCCGGCUAACUCCGUG